AGGAUUUUAGGCUAAUAGAGACCAGGGGCCUUCAAAGCCCCAAGUAGAGGUGAAAAUCCCCUAACUCCUG
Non-coding RNA from Syngnathoides biaculeatus (alligator pipefish), 70 nucleotides. NCBI's taxonomy places the organism in Eukaryota, Metazoa, Chordata, Actinopteri, Syngnathiformes, Syngnathidae. The record is from the annotation of a RefSeq genome assembly.